AGUGUUAUCCGGAAUCACUGGGCGUAAAGCGUCUGUAGGUUGUUUAAUAAGUCAACUGUUAAAUCUUGAAGCUCAACUUCAAAGCUGCAGUCGAAACUGUUAGACUAGAGUAUAGUAGAGGUAAAGGGAAUUUCCAGUGGAGCGGUGAAAUGCGUAGAUAUUGGAAAGAACACCAAUGGCGAAGGCACUUUACUGGGCUAUUACUGACACUCAGAGACGAAAGCUAGGGUAGCAAAUGGGAUUAGAUACCCCAGUAGUCCUAGCUGUAAACAAUGGAUACUAGGUGUUGAACAGAACGACUGUGCAGUACUAAAGCUAACGCGUUAAGUAUCCCGCCUGGAAAGUAUGCUCGCAAGGGUGAAAUUCAAAGGAAUUGACGGGGGCCCGCACAAGCGGUGGAGCAUGUGGUUUAAUUCGAUGCAACGCGAAGAACCUUACCAGGGUUUGACAUGAUAUGAAUUUUUUUGAAAAAAGAAAGUGCCUUUUGGAACAUAUACACAGGUGGUGCAUGGCUGUCGUCAGCUCGUGUCGUGAGAUGUUGGGUUAAGUCCCGCAACGAGCGCAACCCUUGUUUUUAGUUGCCUUAUGGAAAUCUAAAAAAACUGCCGGUUAUAAACC
This 618-nucleotide ribosomal RNA is filed under the name Elphidium margaritaceum. RNAcentral's name for it is "SSU rRNA". It matches the Rfam family "Bacterial small subunit ribosomal RNA", at positions 537 to 1164 of the family's 1533-position model. Lineage: Eukaryota; Foraminifera; Rotaliida; Elphidiidae. The record is from RNAcentral.